CCAGCAGCCGCGGUAAUACGUAGGUGGCAAGCGUUGUUCGGAAUUAUUGGGCGUAAAGCGAGCGCAGGCGGUCCUUUAAGUCAGAUGUGAAAUCCCCCGGCUCAACCGUGGAGGGUCAUCGGAAACUGGAGGACAGAGUGCAGAAGAGGAAAGUGGAAUUCCAUGUGUAGCGGUGAAAUGCGUAGAGAUGUGGAGGAACACCAGUGGCGAAGGCGACUUUCUGGUCUGUAACUGACGCUGAGGCGCGAAAGCGUGGGGAGCAAACAGGAUUAGAUACCCUGGUAGUCCACGCCGUAAACGAUGACUGCUAAGUGUUAGGGGGUUUCCGCCCCUUAGUGCUGCAGCUAACGCAUUAAGCACUCCGCCUGGGGAGUACGGCCGCAAGGCUGAAACUCAAAGGAAUUGACGGGGGCCCGCACAAGCGGGGGAGCAUGUGGUUUAAUUCAAAGCAACGCGAAAAACCUUACCGGGUCUUGACAUCCCGCUGCCCGGUGUAGAGAUACGCCUUUCCCUUCGGGGACAGCGGUGACAGGUGGUGCAUGGUUGUCGUCAGCUCGUGUCGUGAGAUGUUGGGUUAAGUCCCGCAACGAGCGCAACCCUUGAUCUUAGUUGCCAGCAUUCAGUUGGGCACUCUAAGGUGACUGCCGGUGACAAACCGGAGGAAGGUGGGGAUGACGUCAAAUCAUCAUGCCCCUUAUGACCUGGGCUACACACGUGCUACAAUGGACGGUAC
RNAcentral lists this ribosomal RNA (733 nucleotides) under uncultured Planococcus sp. RNAcentral describes it as "bacterial SSU rRNA". It matches the Rfam family "Bacterial small subunit ribosomal RNA", at positions 508 to 1240 of the family's 1533-position model. Lineage: Bacteria; Bacillati; Bacillota; Bacilli; Caryophanales; Caryophanaceae. The record is from RNAcentral.